UACGGAAGGCAGCAGUGGGGAAUAUUGCACAAUGGGCGAAAGCCUGAUGCAGCUAUGCCGCGUGUAUGAAGAAGGCCUUAGGGUUGUAAAGUACUUUCAUCGGGGAGGAAAAAACAAAACUAAUAAUUUUAUUUCUUGACGUUACCCGAAAAAGAAGCACCGGCUAACUCCGUGCCAGCAGCCGCGGUAAUACGGAGGGUGCUAGCGUUAAUCAGAAUUACUGGGCGUAAAGAGCACGUAGGUGGUUUUUUAAAGUCAGAUGUGAAAUCCCUGGGCUUAACCUAGGAACUGCAUUUUGAAACUGAAAUACUAGAGUAUCGUAGAGGGAGGUAGAAUUCUAGGUGUAGCGGUGAAAUGCGUAGAUAUCUGGAGGAAUACCUGUGGCGAAAGCGGCCUCCUAAACGAAUACUGACACUGAGGGUGCGAAAGCGUGGGGAGCAAACAGGGAUUAGAU
Molecule: ribosomal RNA, 454 nt
Filed under: uncultured bacterium
Lineage: Bacteria
Description: bacterial SSU rRNA
Rfam family: Bacterial small subunit ribosomal RNA
Source: RNAcentral